Molecule: long non-coding RNA, 1228 nt
Filed under: Cairina moschata (Muscovy duck)
Lineage: Eukaryota; Metazoa; Chordata; Aves; Anseriformes; Anatidae
Description: domestica (muscovy Duck (domestic type)) lncRNA (ENSCMMG00000000606.1)
Source: RNAcentral
UUAUUUUCAGAGUAUGCCAACCCAUCUAAAUGCUAUCUGUUCUAGGGAGGUGCAUUUGGUGCUUAUUAUAGGUGGGGCUGCUUGGCCUACCUGUUAUUAAAGUUGCUUAAUACUUCCUACUGUGAAGACCUGUUUUCAGUUGCUUGUGCCUCUGAAUUUGAGCCAUGCGGGCAAAAUCGUUGUAUGCCAAGUGUUUACACUGUUAGGGGGGUAAAAACAGCUGAAAAUUUAAAUGUAAUUUGCUGACAUCAUGCUUCAGAAAUGCUCUGGAAUAAAUCUCACAGGAUGAGGACAAGUUAAGAAUUUAUCUUCACAUCUGGACAGGCUCCCAGGUCCCUUGCUACCCUGUUUUUUGUUUUUUUUUUAAUGUGACAUUGUGUAAGCCUCGUUUGGCUUGUACUUUCGGUAUUGUAGGGUGAGCGUUUGCGCUCAUGGCUGGCAGCAGCAACAACAAAUCCCUUUGGUUCCAGCACAAGCAGCCACAGUCCAUGCAGCGCUGCCCUUCCUUGCCCGUGCCCUGCCUGGUGACCUCGCGCUCUCGAGGAAUGUCCGCGCUGGCCGGGAUCUGAGCCCGUCCUCUCCAGCUGCUGCUGGCCCUGCCAAGUCGGGACGCGUGGUAGGGCAUGGAUUGCCCUCGCUGCAGCUCAGCGGGUUUAAGGCUUCAGUGACCGAGUUUGAAGAUCACAUUGCUGAAAUUUUGCUUUCGUUCUGAGAGUUUUAGAAAGGGCGUGAAUUGACCGGGCUGCCUGGCUGGCUGGGUCAGUGAGAGGGAUGGGCUAAGCUCGGCGGUGGUAGGGCUGGGUUUGGUGCCUGGGCACGGUGAGGGGACUGCUGUGGCUGCCCUGCUGUGAGGGGCCGGGUGCUGCUGGCUUCCACACUGUGCCAUGAAACCGGGCAUGGGCCCUUCUGCGUAGCUCCGGGCCUUCGUGCCCUCGAGCUGUGCGCACACCGCUUUAUCUCCGGGACCUGGCGCCUUGGGGCCCCCGCGGCUCCCCCUCAGCCCCUCAGCGCCGGGGCCGCCCCCGCCGCCACCUGCCGGGCCCCGCCCGCCCCGCGCCUGCGCGCAGCCCCGCCCCCGGCCGCGGGCGGCCCGGCCCGGCCCGGCUCAGCCGCGCCGCGAUGCGAGGAGGCGGCGGCGGCACCGCCACGGGACCCGCGCCGGGACCCGCGCCCGGGGCUGCUGCGACACCGGGCCCAGCACGACACCAGCCUCCCUGACCCGAGUCUC